CACGCCGCGUGAGGGAUGACGGCCUUCGGGUUGUAAACCUCUUUUAGCAGGGAAGAAGCGAAAGUGACGGUACCUGCAGAAAAAGCGCCGGCUAACUACGUGCCAGCAGCCGCGGUAAUACGUAGGGCGCAAGCGUUAUCCGGAAUUAUUGGGCGUAAAGAGCUCGUAGGCGGUUUGUCGCGUCUGCUGUGAAAUCCCGAGGCUCAACCUCGGGCCUGCAGUGGGUACGGGCAGACUAGAGUGCGGUAGGGGAGAUUGGAAUUCCUGGUGUAGCGGUGGAAUGCGCAGAUAUCAGGAGGAACACCGAUGGCGAAGGCAGAUCUCUGGGCCGUAACUGACGCUGAGGAGCGAAAGGGUGGGGAGCAAACAGGCUUAGAUACCCUGGUAGUCCACCCCGUAAACGUUGGGAACUAGUUGUGGGGACCAUUCCACGGUUUCCGUGACGCAGCUAACGCAUUAAGUUCCCCGCCUGGGGAGUACGGCCGCAAGGCUAAAACUCAAAGGAAUUGACGGGGACCCGCACAAGCGGCGGAGCAUGCGGAUUAAUUCGAUGCAACGCGAAGAACCUUACCAAGGCUUGACAUACACCAGAACGGGCCAGAAAUGGUCAACUCUUUGGACACUGGUGAACAGGUGGUGCAUGGUUGUCGUCAGCUCGUGUCGUGA
This 666-nucleotide ribosomal RNA is filed under the name Microbacterium sp. BSF_Tan. RNAcentral's name for it is "bacterial SSU rRNA". It matches the Rfam family "Bacterial small subunit ribosomal RNA", at positions 393 to 1070 of the family's 1533-position model. The record is from RNAcentral. Lineage: Bacteria; Bacillati; Actinomycetota; Actinomycetes; Micrococcales; Microbacteriaceae.